CAACCAUCAAGCCCUGCUUGUGUUGGGGUCCUGCGGCUGCCCGCAGGCCCUGAAAACCAGUGGCGGGCUCGCUAGUCACACCGAGCGCAGUAGCACAUCUCGCUCAGGGCGUGCGGCGGGUUCUUGCCGUGAAAACCCCUUAAACUUCAAA
This 151-nucleotide unclassified non-coding RNA is filed under the name Rhypophila cochleariformis. RNAcentral describes it as "partial internal transcribed spacer 2". Lineage: Eukaryota; Fungi; Ascomycota; Sordariomycetes; Sordariales; Naviculisporaceae. The record is from RNAcentral.